Molecule: long non-coding RNA, 41635 nt
Filed under: Musa acuminata (dwarf banana)
Lineage: Eukaryota; Viridiplantae; Streptophyta; Magnoliopsida; Zingiberales; Musaceae
Description: long non-coding RNA (MACU_LNC001873)
Source: RNAcentral
GUUGUCGGAGAAUGCAACGAGGCAACCCGAACUCGCCGCCACCGCGCAUCAAGUCGAUGCUUGUUGUGGUGCUGGUGAUGGCUUCCAUGGUGGCCGGAGGCUCAGCGACAGUAGAGCGCGAUGUGGGGUCCGAUACGCAGGUCAAGUGCACUUGCUAUCCCUGCGGUUGCGCACAAAGCCCGCCGCCACCACCACCGCCGAAGUGGCCAGUGCCAUACUGUCCACCUCCACCGCCGGCGCCGUUUCUUUACAUAGUUGGCGCGCCGGGCAAUCUGUACCCGUUCGAUACUGCAAACUUCCCCUCGAGCUCCUGCCGGAGCUUCGCCGGGCUGACGCCGGUCUUUGUGCUCUCCGGGCUGGUUGCGCUGUUGAUGUUGUGGUGGCUAUGACUCGUGUUGUUUCAUGCCAUGCUCCUUCAUCUGUAACGCUCUUCGAGUUAGAUUUCUGCUCUGCAAUCUCAAGAAUUUGAGUCAAGAAAUUAAUUGCUAAAUAAACUACUAUUUCUAAAUGAUUAUUUUUCUUUUUCUUCUGAUCGCUCUCAAUAAUUAAAGUGUUCCACAGUUUGAUCAGUGUUCAUGUCACUUGUUUGAUAAGGAAAUCAUGGAAACUAGGAUAAUUCUAAUGCUGCUUUAAGCCUUAGCAUAUCAUUUUUUUUCAUGUUAAUUUCCUUGGAAUAUUUGAGAUUUAUUUCUCCAGACCAUAUUAAUCAAACCAUUGAUUGCAUGAGAUGAGGACAAUGAUUCAAUUAUGUCAAGUUGGACUUUGAGUCAAUUAAGAAGGGAUGCAUAUGUGUGAUAUUUUAUUCCAUGCUACUUAUAAUAAUUACAAUGAUUGCAAGUGUCUACCUGUUGGUGGGUGCAUAAGGUUGGACCAGCAUCAUCAGUGUCAUCUUCCUGGUCUAAAAUUGAGGCUCCAUUUCAUGUUAAACUUUGACUUUGAAGUCAAAAUAAGAUUUGGAGAUGGUCCAAUUAGAGAUCAAAGAGAUACCAAUGGGUGAUCAAUUUUUAUACUAAAUGUAAUAUUUUUUUGUUUUUUUUAAGGGUCAAAAUUUUUACCAACUAAACCAAUGUUUCAUUUUUUUUUCUUUUUAAGAAUUAUAAUAUCUUAAUCAAUUCACUUUUGGAGAGGCUCUGUUUAUUAACCAAUUGGAGGCUGCCACGUAAUUGUUGACUGGUCAAACAAUAAUUCCAUCAGAAACGAUCGACCGCUUCGCUUCUGUGACUUCUCCGUUCUUUGCCAUGUCGUUCACUCCAUCGCCAACAUUGACGGGUUCAAUUGUCUCGCACCGAGGACGGCCGCACAAAGUCAAGUCAAAGAAGGCCUACUGCUCGAUCGCAGUGGGAAUGUUAUAUACUGUGAGCUCCGCUUAGAGCCUCUCGUGAGCUGAAGGUGAGGACUAAUGGAGAGCAUCAGCACUCAGGUGUUCCACAGCAUCCACUCGUACUGGCGGCGCCGGACUUAUCGGAGACUGGACGCAACCAAGAAGCAGGCGAAAGCGAUACGGCUCGGCGGAGGCGGAGGAGGAGGAAUAAGGACGAGCAGCUGGCGAUGUCGGAAGGCGAAGGUGGUGUGGCGGACGCUUCGGUUGCGGCCGAAGGUGUGGUCGGCGCCGCUACGGCUGCUGGCGUGGGUGCGGAACGCUUACGUGGACGCGAUGCUGGCGCUGGCCGGCGGGAAGGGCCGGCCGUCGGCGCUGAGCAGGGUGAGGAGCGGCUCCGAGGCGCUGUGGGGGAGGAGGAUGCCGAGGGCGAGGCAGGCGAGCGGCAGGUCUGCAGACUUCGAGAGGAGGAUGAUGAUGCAUCUGAUCCAUUCCAUUGUAGAGCCGGAGUUGCCUUGUCGUGAAUGAGUAAUAUGGAUGGAGCAGUUGUACGUAAAUCUCAUGCAUUACUGCUGGAUUUAAUGGUUUCUUUUCUUCAAGAGAAUAUUUUUCUCAAAUAAUAAUGUAAAGAGAUGGCUUUGAGUUGCAUUGUGGCUGAUGUUGAUUUCAUGUGCUCAUGGUGUUUGCUCAUUUAAGUUAAGCCGAACUAAGUUGAUCCUUCUUAAUAUCCAUUGUUAUAAAAUUACGUUCAUUCCUUGCCAAUAGCACCAACUUUCAUGUGCACACCCAUCAAUUAAACUUAGACACUUGAAAUUGUAAGUUGUAAGAGGUAAUUGAGCAAAACUGAUGGGGAAUUAGCUUCCAUACCUUGGAACGGAAAGGAACUGGGUGAAAUAGCAAGCAACAACAGAGUAAAGAACUUGAACUGAGACUCCAAGUAAGAUUAAGGUUACUCGGAUCCACAAGAAACAUUUUAACACUCAUGUUCACUGCCUUCUACGACAGAUCUUAUUGAGACAGAAACUGAAACAGACGAACGAGUAGUAGUAAUGCAAGCAAGCAGACCCUUGAAGGAAGCUCCAUGCCAUGGCUCACCUGGAGGGUCCUCCAGGGGGGCUCAUGUUGGCUGUAGGAGAAGGUGGCGUGAGCAGUGACUCCCUGCCCAGGCUCACAGAUCCUUGUGUGCUCACCUCACCAUCUCCGCCUGCAUACGUGAAUCCAUACAAGUAGGCUUCAGAUUAGAAAACACAGAACAAGAUGGUGAAAUCAACGUCAGACCUGUGUUUGGAUGAUGGUGGACUGGGACUUCUCUGCAGUGGGAUGGAGAGACCAGGAGAGCUGAGAAGAGGAGAGCUGCCACUAAGAUGGAGGUGAUGGCCCUGGGAGUGGAAUGCUCCAUUGAAGGACCUGUUGAUUUCGGAUGGAUGAGCAAACGAAACACAGAGAGAGAGAGAGAAAGAGAGGUGGGUAUAGGCAAUUUGGUUAGUUGACUAUUUGUCUGCAUCUUUCAUGACAUGUGGUACGUCUAGAUCUGAAGGGCGCAUUAACCAAGGUUGACCCAGACCAUGGCUGGCGUUAGUCAAAGGCCUGCACUCCAUUAGAUUCCGACAGACAAGACGAGAAAGAGGCAUGAAAUUGAUGAGAUCAUGAUAUCUCAAUUUUAAGUGCCUCCACAGCAAACAAACAAACAAACAAAUGCCAGUUUAACAGCAAUCUUAAAAGCCUCUACGUAUGCACCUGCUAAGACCACAGGGAACUCGAAAGAUUACCUCCUUAUCCAUCAAAAUGGUUAAAGAAAGACUUGGACACAGCAAAUACUCCAUCAACCAACCUUGAGAAAACAAGAGGACAGCAUGAAUACUAUUUUUAAAGGAAUUCUGCUGGUCUCCUGACAUGCUAAACAGAGGAAAAAGGAAAGCAGAUGAACUAACUUAGAAGCAGCAAGCCCACAAAUCUUUAGUACUGAUCAUUGGCAUUGUGAUCAAUAUUGAAGGUGGUACAACAUACUCACGUUGAGCUCUAAAACAAGAAAAAUAUUCUCCUACAAACAUGUAGCCCGUCCUCUUGUCUUGAUCAUGCUUCCUCUGUUAAUGUAUCACAGGUUUAAGAGGAUGCGCCCUGAGUUUGGACAAGUCGAGAUUUGCAUCCAGUUCUUCAUCUAACUCUCCCACUACACUUCUGCACACACACGAGUUAUAUUUAGGACUGCUGGAUUGGUAGUGUCAGAAACAGCAAAGUUUACAGGGUACAGAGUGGAAGUAAAACAAGGCCUGUCUAAACUCAGGAGCCAUACAUGUUAUCGCCUCUUAUAAUAUAGAGCCCUAAGACAAGUUGCUGCACACCUUCCUGCAAAAUAGGCCAAAAGAAAUGUCACAGAUUGUGGAUCUCAAAAUGUCUAAUCCUGGUUAUCAGAUCUCACGUUCUUGCUCCUUCCAAGGAUUUUAAUGUGAAAUGAAAAAUAAAAUCAAGUAAAAAAACAGACAAUGAAAUACACUGCAAUUGAAAUAAUAUUCCGGUUGGAAAUGGUAAAAAGAUGAACGAACCUUGGUAGAGUAAACCCUCUCAUGAGAUUCAUCAAGAAUAAUAUUUGUAGCCUGGUCAAAGCCUCUCAAAACUCCCUACACAAGAAACCCAGGGUCAACAAAUCACUAAUGGGGGAUGAGUAUUAUACUAAGCCACAAAAAAGAGUUAGUUCCUGUGUAAAAGGAAAAGAAAAAAAUGUCAACAAAUCACUAAUGGGGUAUGAGUAUUAUACUAAGCCACAAAAAAGAGUUAGUUCGUGUAUAAAAGGAGAAUUGAAAAAUGCCACCAAAUCAUAAAUUAGCUUAACUCUAAACAAGUAACAAGGAGAAAUGUUCCAUGAGAAACUCAGGAACACUAAAAGCUGCUACAAUGACUGAUAUUGUUUACAAUUAUAGCAACUCACCACAAUGUUGCGCCCAUCAUUUGUAAUGACUGAUAUUGUUUCUGCAUCAGAAAAAAACAUUAGCUUUUGCUUCAUCAGUUCAACUCAUUAUUUAAAAGUCAAAGAUCCAUAAAAUCAUGUGCAGCAGUAUCACUACAUAUGAAAGUAGAAUUAGUGGAACUGAACAUCAUUACUCUAAAGUAACUAAACUUUGAAAGAUGAAGAUUGAUCACAGAGCACAUACGAUCUACCAAUGACUCGAGUCCAGGGCCUGUUGACAUGUCUAACUGCAACUAUCUCAAUGGGGGUUUUUGCUCUUCCAGGAAGCACUGCAAGAAAGCUGAAUGAUCAUUAUGCAGGUUAAACAUAGUUCUGCAGACACCAUGACAUCUAAUAUCACCAGUAAUUCUACAUAGACUGGUAGGGACUGUAACAAAAUCGAAAUAUAAUAAAGAUGAACCUGUAAUUAGAUAUAAUUUCAUCCAAGAUAGUCAACUUGGAGAAAUUUCACAUAACAUCAAAAGUAUGGCAAUAUCAAAUACCAGAUUACCUAAACAUAUCAUACUUCAGAAAUAUCACUUUGCAGAGUUUGUAGCUUAGAGUGUGUGGUUACUCAAAAGAAAUGGUGAACUUGUGAAUUUCUGUUCGGUAUAUGCUAGUUUCACAGUUAGGUACAGCUGACAUAAAGUCUGUUACGAGCAGAAUUGGCAUGGCCCCACAGCAAGGUGGGAUUAGUUACGACUGAGCAUAUUGGAUUCAUGUGAACUAUCAUGAACUUCUAUUAUCCACCAAAAGAUACAGGCACAGGUAACAGACAGAUGGAAGUCAACAAAGAUCAGUUUCUUGAAGGCAAUUGAGCAUUUUGUUACAUGCAACAGUCCCCGAUCAAAAGUUUUAGGGCUCACUGAUCUAUAUAAACAUAUUCAUGAGUUUAGGAGAAGAAUGAGAGAUGAUAAAGUCAACAUAAAGAUUGUCGAAAAGGUGGCAAAGAGGAAUCCUAAUAUUUAUGUGUCUUUGAAAAGUAAGAUGCUCCCUUGCUGCUGAAAAAGUUAAUUAUUUCCUUUAUAUGCCAUGUUGGGGUGUGUGAUUAAGAAUUUUAAUAGAAAAUAUUCUUAAGACAGUAGAUGCACUUCUUUUAAAUUCAAACACAUUCUUAUUUGGCUGUCUAUGUAAACAAAGUGACAUAUCUUACAGGAUUCGAAUGUCACAACUAGUUUCUAAGAUUUUCAAACACAAAUCUUAUAGCUCUAUUUAGCAAGAUGGAUGACAGAAGUAUUAUGUCUGUUAGAAACCUAAAGAGAAGAUAUAAGAACAUGCAGCACAUUGAACAAAGUGUAUGUUACAAUCCUCGUGGGUUUGUGUCAAGAAUCCCUUCAGCAGUUGCUUGCAGGAUGUAGGUUUGCCAGUAUACUAUGCUCAAAUCCCAGCUUUCAAUGACCUUGAUUUCUUGUACAAUAGGAUUAGUGAACAAUGCAUCCUAGAGAGGGUGGCUUAAGUACAAAUGAUAGAAUUUUAUACACGCCUUAAUUAAUUUUAUACCUUCUGAAACCUUUAGAGAUGAAGUAGCCAAUCAGUUAAGAUUUGGAAUUUUCUAAAGGACAUAGUUUUGCCAGAGAGAGAUGCAAUUCUGAAACCAUAUGGGGAUGGUUGGAACUUGGAAUCACCUCCACUGAACUGACCAGAUUCUAACUUCAAUUGGUGUUUCUCCAAAACACAAUGGUGGGGCAGGUACAUACAAUGCUUAUGGUGACACGAUGCUUACGGCGACAUGUUUCAUGAAAGCACCAAAUGCAGGCAUAAAGCAUGAGCUAUCCUAAAGCUCUCAUGUGAUGGAAAGUCUAAUUGCCAGCCAAUAGCUAAUAUGCAGAACAGAACGCCCUCCGUGCCAAUUUCAUUUGCAAGGAAGACAUCAGUCCUUGAGUGAUCCAUGGUGUCGUAGGUGACGUAGCCUUUCUCACAAAACCUUUCGUAUUAUCAAAGAGAGCAUGUUUUGCACAAUGUAUGACACAUGAAUUUUGGUACAGCUUCCAGUGCUUUUGAGUGGAAGGUUGUGGGAAGGGAUACAAGUAGUACGACUAAGGAAUUAUCAGUGACACAAGGUGCUAAAAGACACCCAAGGUGUUCGGCGUGCUAGACACCCGUCAAUAUACAAAAUAUAAAAAUAUAAUUAAGGAAAAUAUAAUCAUUGAGAAUAAAAAUUAGACGAUGCAUAAGUUCCACAACAUUUCAUUUCAAAGUAUCACCACUAAAACAUCGAAUCAAAAGUCCAAGAAUUUUGACAAGCAUUCUAGCGAUGACAAUUCCAUAAUUAACAUAAUUCAUAGAGUAUUAACUAGAAUUAACUAUUAUUAACAUGAACUAGGCAUGACUAUUAUUAACAACUAUUAAAUUCAGGAUGAGGCAGGGAAGGGUGCUGAGAACAGUAGGAGGUCGGUUGAGGGUAGGGGAAGGCAGAGAAGAAGGGCUGACUGCAGCCGGGGUCGAGGGCCUAACAGCGGGAGAACAAGAGAGCGGAGAACGAAGGGCGACCAGAGAGGGGCUGGCGGCUGGAUGGCACAUGGAAGCUUGUCCCGGGGCGGGGCGCCCCCCGGGGGGGGGGGAGGGGGGGGAGAGAGAGAGAGAGAGAGAGAGAGAGAGAGAGGCGACCGCUCUACUGGGAAGAAGCAGAGAGCAGGGAGGAUGGGAUGGGGCUGUACCGCCGGCGGCCAGGCGAAGCGGGAAGGGGGGAGGUGUCGAUGUCGUCCGCGAGAUGGGAGGCGCAGCCGCGUUGGGGCAAGCCUUGCGCACGGACGCCGGUCGCCGAUCGUCGGCCGCUUUGCAGCGCAACAGGGAAAGAAGGGGUGGACGAUUAGGUUUUCUGCGAAGAUGCCACCGCGCGCGGGGGUUGUCAAGGGUUUACGGUUUUUUUAUUUGAUUUGAUCAAACCAAGGCGGCUCGAGCCAGGAGCCAAUCAAAGACUCGACCCAGAUCUGAUCAAAUGCGCCUGGGCCGAAUCUCAAAUUUCCCAAUACAACCGGACCGGACCGGACUAUCGAACCCUCAAUCGAUUCGAUCCCCCAUACUUGGACCGUUCCAGUCGAUCGAAAUACCUUCGAUUUUUCUUAUGACUUUGUAUAUUUGAGAUGGAUAACUAUUAAGGACAUGAAAUGAUGAAAUCCUAAGACAUAAAAGCAUUUAUUCAAGAAUUAUUUUGAGGUCCCAGUUUUCUGUCAGCAUAGCAUAAUUCUUCCGUGACCAUCUCCUAAUAGUGGGCUAGUGGGCAUGUGGGCAACAGCGAGCUACUUGCAGAGCAUCAUGCCAAGAUUCGUGCUGGUGACAAUGAUGAAGAAUCUUGAUCCAUGAGAACCCCAACCCAAAAAUGGGCAUUAGGAUCACCCAACGAGAAGCAGCAUGAUGCUAUGUUGCCAUUUGUGGCGGAUCCAUACGCGCAGAGACGACGGUGAUACUGGAGAGCGAACGCAACCACUUGAUGGCCGGAGAUAGAGGGGGAUAAGGUACUGUUCCACUUCUUCCUUCAUCUGCUCUCCGGGAAUUCCGGCUAAGUUGCAUGAAUCCAGCAACUAAUUAUUUUCUUAGAUCAGGAUCCAAUGACUGCUGUAAAUUUCUCUCGGGCCUCCUAUAAAUAGGAGGGUACGAAGGGUUUCAUGGGUCCUUGUAGGUCUUUUGAGUUCCUCUCUCUUGUUCCUGGUGAGAAGCAGAGGAGGCACGUCGGUGAUGCUGUUGACAGAAGAUAGAGAGCACAGAUGAUGGCUUGCAACUCUUUUUGCAUUCCACUCCUUUGUGCUCUCUAUGCUUCUGUCAUCACCUUCGGCCCCUUGCACACAGCCACCGUCAGGAUCUUUGUAGUUGAUGCCCCGUUCGAGUUGCUUCUCGAAAGCUUCUUACGACCCUUGGAUGUUCAUGAAGAAGAAGAAGACAGUGCAGCUUCCGAUGGAAGAUUUAUGGUGAUGGAAUCAAACAGCACUAUAGACAUGCGUGAAGAACCACCGUUCGUUACACUUCCUCUUUGACAUCUUCUUCGACAGUGAAGGAGGAGACAUGAAACGCCCGAGGAAGCUCCGUGGUGGUGUCCAAGAAGAAGAGCAGGCAGCACAUCACCACACUGCUCGCCAGCAUCGGUAUCGGCCCAAAAACCCAGAGGAAGAGGGUGAAGGACACGUAGAACGCCCUCAGGCCGAGAGACCAGAAGAGGCUGCCUCGGUCCAAGCUCCUCGCGGCGUGCUCCGGCGUGACGGGCCCUGCCACCGGCUGGCUCAUGAGGAAGCCGGCGUGCGUGUGGUACCGGACGGACUGCACGUUGCAGAGGAAGGCGAGGAUGAAGCAUAGCAAGAGGGCGAAGUACUUGAUGGAGCGCACCACGGAGGACUUGUUGCCGUAGACGAGGGAAGAGGUGGCGGUGCUGGUGGUGGCGCUGACGAAGACGCUGAUGAGGGAGGCGAGGGUGACGGCGGUGGUGGCCAGCGCGGUGGACGCCAUGAUGUCGUUCCUCAGCGUUUGCACCGCCAGAGUGCCGUUCCCGAGCGGGUCCUGUUCAGCGUACACAUUAAUAUAUAUAUAUAUAUAUAUAUAUAUAUAUAUAUAUAUAUAUAUAUAUAUAUAUAUAUAAAAUUGUAUAUAUAAUUAAAAAUAAUUGGCGAUAUUAUAAUUAAUUUGACUAAAAAAUUAAAUUAUUAUUUAAUCGGACCAAACAAUCAUAAAUGUGAACUUCCAAUUUAAUUUUUUUAUCUGCAUUUUUUCGUAUAUUUUGGUCAUUAUACUAACACUCUUGAGUCAUACAGGAAGGAACUAAAACAUUCUUAAAGAAGACGAGGAGAUGCAGACUUACAGUCAUCAUGGCUCUGAGCCACCGGUGCUUGACCUGGGCGUUCACGCCGAUGACAGUGCGAUUGGGAUGUCGGACUAUGGUGAAGAAGAGCCAUAUGUGGUAGGUGGCCUGCAGCAGGAGACCCAGCGGAACCAUCACCAUGUCCAAAUAUUUCUCCUCCAUCUCUCCGCACCUCCUCCUUCUUCUUCUCUGUGCUGUUGCAGGCUAUUAAAAGUGUUCGGAGCAAGGUUGAGGAAGAAAUAAGCAACGCAUGGAGAGGCUGAAAAGGCAUUUAGAAGAGUUAUUGGUUAACAGAGACGGGACCGAACGCUUCCCUUGUACCCAAGUUUCAUUGGUAAAGCGUGUGGGAGUUGUUCUUUGAACCUGUCCUCUUUCCGGAUGAUCCCAAUACCUCUAUUACGCGAGAUUAAGAUAAACAACUGUUCCAGAAAUUGUUGGCCUCCGAGGAUCGUCCAGAGAAGCCACGAAUCGAAUCGAUCCAUGCUUGUAGGUUUCCUCGCAUGCCCAAAUCAAUUUAGACUAAGAAAUGAAAAGAGGAGAAAUAUUCUUUAAAUCAACUCUAACUGAGAAAAGAGGAGAAAUAUUUUUCUAUAUGCAUGCAUAUAAUAUAAGUACAUAUGGAAUCUAAUGAAGAAUGUCAUGCAGCAUUACUAAUCAGAAAUCCAUGUUUGAUUAAAGGAUGAAAAAGGAAUUGAUUAAAGGAAUAUAUAUAUCACCUGCAAACAAAUAAUCUUAGCAUGAUAUUUUUUAUUCAUUAGUGACAAAACAGAACAACCUUGUAAAGAUUCAAGCAUUGCUGAGAAAAAGAAGCCAUCAACAUUUUGUCAAAGGAUCCAUAUUGUCCCAAUACAAACAAUCACAGUACAUUAAGAUUGACUUGUGGGAGUUCAAACAGAUAGGAUAGAAAACCAUAAGUGUGAACAGACGAUGGUUUUGCAAGUUUUGUAGACAUUAGCUUGAGAAGAAUGUGAUGAUCAAGCAAUGGGAAAGAAAACAUAUCAAGUUGGGAGGCAAAACCAUGAUUGCACAUAUAUCUUUGCGAUUUCGUAUGGAAAAAUUGCACCAUGCAUCAAAUUUGUAGAGCAUGGGGAUCUGACUAGUACCAUGACUAUACUCAAUUAAGAAGCAUUUUUGGAUAUUGCAUGCAUCAAUGAUCAUUGAACUUUGAAGUGUGUUUUCUUGCACUUAUAUCUUCUUGCACAGAUACCGAGCUCUUGUAGACACAUAAUUAAAUAUCUGCCAUCUUCCAUGAACAGCAAUUGCUGACAAAGAACUCAUUGUACAGCCAGCAGAUUUGUAGUAACAAUGGUAUGAUUAAUUAACAGAUAAACAUAUUAACCGGGCAUGCAAUCUGUCAUACCACCGCAUAAAAUAAGGGCUAGCUGUACAAGCAAAUUGAGAUAACAAUCAAGUCGAAGAAAGCAGUAAUUAUUUAUGGUGUAGGAAGUGCAAGUAUUAUCUAAAUUGUAUCGUACCAGAACCUUCAUUGAUUUUGCUAUUGCCUAGUUCAUCCAUAACUUUAAUAGCCUAUCCUUGCCACCAGAUGCUACUUUUUCACCAUCUGGACUCCAAUCCACACAGAAAACCUAGGAAAAAGAAGAAGAAAGGACUUUAUGUGACAUUAAAUAGUGAAGUUUGAUGUGCAUAAACUCAUCAAGAUUCUUGGAAAGAGUAGUACCUCAUCUACAUGACCUGGAAGAUCUUGUUUAAGCUAAUGCAAUUACUCCGGCAAGAGUCUCGUCCACUACGUUCACCCAUUUACUCCAUAAGCUAAUGCAUCCAUCAUACUUUAAGGUUAAUUUUGUAGUAUCUGCUGUAUCAAAUGCUACGUCAUGAGUUAUUUUGUCAUGCAAUGCUAGUUGUCAAAGUUGAAUUCUUUAUUGCCAACGCAGGAUCUGAGGCGGAGGGUUCAUAUAUAUAUAUAUAUAUAUAUAUAUAUAUAACNNNNNNNNNNNNNNNNNNNNCUAAUUCUUUUAUUCUAUUUAGGGGUUCAUAUAUAUAUAUAUAUAUAUAUAUAUAUAUAUAUAUAUAUAUAUAUAUGUAUAUAUGUAUAUGUAUAUGUAUAUAUACAUGUAUAUAUAUAUACAUGUAUAUAUGUAUGUAUAUAUGUAUAUAUAUGUGUAUAUAUAUUUAUAUUAUUUCUUUAAAAAAGUAAUAAAACACUGACAAAAUAAAGGAGAAGCUACCAGAUUAUAAGUUAUCAACUUGUAUGAAAUAUCUGUAAAUUUGUUAUUUGUAUUGGGUACAUAGAAAUUAAAGAAAAAACAAGCACUGAACUUUCAAUAGAACAUUAUACAAAUGAAAUGCAUACCUUGUGUAUAUCAUGGCAUCACCACCCCACUUUACACAGGUAACAGCCAGAGUGUGACCAAAGAGACAAACAACACACUUGCUCAAAGAAAUAUCCCAAAUACGUGCAUCCCCAUCCUUGCUGGAACUAACUAAACGGCGACAAGGAGCUUGCAAAUGUACAGGCUCCCAGGAAAUACCAGUAAUCGAUUUCUUGUGGCCCUGCUAUUUUAUAAUGCACCCAAAAUAUAUAUUGUCACAAGGCACAUGAUGAUGAAUGCACAUUAGAAUGUCAAGUUAACUGCCCAAAGUUGAUAUUAUAAAACAUUAACAAGUAAAAAUAGGAUUUUAACAAAAACAGAAUAUUUUAAAGGAUAGUAAGCUGAGACAAACAACAAAAUGGAGAAAAUUGGUUUUGAGCCUAUACCAGUGGAAUAUUUGGAUAUGACCUUCUAAGAGAUCAUACAUGAGGCUUCUUGAGCAUCGGUCAAUGCAUAUGACUUUCCAAAAGACUGCAGUUGAGUUGUAUACUAACCAAAGUUCGUCUUAUGGGUCUGUACCAAUAUACCGACUGGCCGAUGGUACAACAUGUACCAUUCGGCACCGAUGUAUCAUGUGUCAAUACGGUGAGGCAUACUGAUAUGUAAAAUGCAUAAGGCAUAUUUUCCUCCUAAUAAACGAAAAAAGGAAACAAGUGAAUUUCUUUACCAGAGGAUCCAUGACUAAUCAAAAUUUUUCAAAGACAACUACAAAACAAAGAAAAAGAAAGUAAAUCAAGACUAUCAAGUAAUAUAAUCAAAAGCAAAAAAAGACAGGAUAUCUUUGAGAUUACAUUCUUCAGCAGUUUGUUGACUAUUUCCUGGAGCUGUGGUGGUCCAGCAUUCUGUGGGAGAUAGAGAGGGCACCAAGGGGCUCCCCUUCAGGGUCAGUCAAAAGGCACAUCCCGCUAUUACUACUGCUUAUUUCUCUCACUUCGUCUGAAACCUCCAUCUCUACCUGGAAAACUCCCAGUAUAACAGAACCCUAACCUGAAAGAAGAAAGAAGACAAUAUAUCCUAAAUUACAAUACAAUGAAGUCCAACAAGAUUCUCUCUUGUCCAAGAUGAACAAAUGAAAAAUAAGCAGACUUUUCUUGUAAGUGUUCGUCUGAUAAAUUUAUGAUGGGGUGGCAUUAUCCAAUUAAUAGAAAAACAACAUUACAAGUGGAUACAAACAAUACCAAAUCAAAAUAAACAUAAAGUCGAAAUCAAACAAAUCAUUACAAAGAAAAUUAAGAAAUCACUCAAGGAUACUGGACAUCCAAAAGCUAAGACAUAACUCUAUUCACUUUGUUUUGGUAGUCAUGGCACAAGAGCUAUAUUUAUAGGAUUGAGAUGUACGUACAUCUAAACUAGAAACAGUUAAUAGACUAAGAAAGAAAAGAAAAUAAAGGAGAAAACUAGAGGCAGUUAAUAAUUAAGAAAUUAUAAUUAUUGUACUAAAUUGAAAAACAAAACCAAUUAACAUUUCUUAUCGCCGAUCGCCAUCUCAUCUUAAGCAUGUAGCAGGUGUCAGCACGGCUAUUUGACAUGUGCCCUUUCCUUUUGGAUAUCGUAGCAGCAGACUGUAAUCAAGGCAGAGGUUUCUCUCUCGCUUGUCCACUCUGAUACAAACCUUAUGCAAGGGUUCAAAAUCUACAACAUACCUCAAACGACGAAGGGCAAUUAAAAUCAUAAUCAGAGGAGAAUAAAAAUAUGACAAAAUUCUUAAAUGAGAAUAAGAGAAUAAACUAAAGACGAUCAUAUUUCACAACUCGAAUAAUCUCUAUAAAAGCAAGCAAAAAAACCAAAAGAAAGUGAUGAAGCAAGAACCUUUAUGAUUGGAAGAGAUUGAGAAGAGUGUUUGCCUAGUAGCAAAGCCCCUUUCCUCGUGUAGAAGGUAGAGGAGGUGGUGGUGGUGGUGGCACGCGUCGACGGAGCGAGGGAGGUGAUGGUGGAGGCAUGGGUGGUGACGGAAGACAUCCGAGGGGUUUAGGGGUUCGAUGAGCACCUUCGGCCGGUGGAUCCGCGCUGCAAUUGCACCUCUUAACGGGUCCGCUUGGUGGAGCUCCGGUAGGAAAAAGAUACCAGAUGAGUGCAAUUUCUGACCCGAAUCCGAACUGUGAACUCAGUCUUGCGGUUUGGUUGAUCAAUCCGACCCGAUCCGUCUUCCCCCUGAUUAACAAUAAUAAUGAUAUCGUUGCUAUCAUUAACAAUAAUAAUAAUAAUAAAAUGAGAAGAAAAGAGUUGAAAGAGUUUGUUGGAAUUAAGUUAGGAUAUUUAUAUAAUUAAGAAUAUUAAAAAAAAAAAAUAAUAUAGGAAACAUAUUUACCAAUAAAAAUCUCUCAUAUAUAUCAACAGACAAAAAAAGAGAGUAACAGAGGAAUUAACUAGUCAUGAUAUUUUUAUCAUCUUAAGAAGUCAAUAUUAAAUAAUAAAAUUACAAAAUGGAAAAAAUGAUGGCUCUUAAUUGCAUUGUGCAGUAAAAAAACAAUGGAAUCGCCUGGUUACUGAAGCGUGCAGCGCACGUGUUUCCUUCGUGAGUUGUCACGAAAAAAAUAUCGGACACAGAAAAUAAUAAUAAUAAUAAUAAUAAUAAUAAUAAUAAAACCACAAAAAUAAGAGGAGCACAGAGAAAGCCGGCAUAAGACCCCCUAAUUUCCCAAAACGAAGCGAAAACGAAAACGAACUUGCGGAGAGAGAAGCGAGAGAGAUGGGUAGCACGAUUCUUUCGCUUGCAUCCCAUCUGCAACCCUCUUGCUGCUGUAGGCGACGCCGCCUCCGCCCACCAAACCACUGGGGCGAUGUCGCGCGGAUCAGCGCCGCGCCGUCCUUCUUCUGUAGCUCCAUCACCUCUCCGAAGCCUUCCAGCAGGCAUCGCCUCAUCUGCUCCGCCCUCCUCCAAGACGAUGCCCCGCAAGGGGGGCAGCAGCAGCAACAGCAACAGCAACAGCAGCAGCAGGAUCCGCCCACGCAGCUCCCCGCUGGCGUCGGCGCCGCGGUCGAAGAAAGGCCCGGUACCCUCUCGAGCAUUUUCUACUUUUUUGUUGCCUUUUUAUUCUUGUUAUGAUAUUUCGACAAUUUCUUUCGUUUUCUUCAUUCUGUUGGUUCCAAGAUGAGGUUUUUUUCUCGGAAUUGCUUCCAAGUUUGCAUCUUUUCGUGUUUUCGAAGAACAGUUGCUGCACUUCCAAGCAGCCAUUCCAUGAAUGGUUCUAUUUUGAUAAGUAAUGAUCUCGUACAUUAUCGGUCCUCUUAAACGUUUGGGGAUUUGGAAUGAUCUAAUAAGUUUCAGCCAGCGGACUUUUGUAAGUCGGUCGUUGGACUACAAAAGUUAAAAAAAAAAAAAAUGUCAUCUAGUAGUUAGUAGAAUCCUAGGUUGGAACACCUAAAGCGAGUCAAGAAAAUAAUGCACCGAAGCACUUAACAACUGAAAUGCCCAAAAAGGAUGUGACGGAUGAGUGCCCGAGGCAUUUGUCGAGCUGAGCUGGUUGUACACCGAAAUUUCUGUCUGCUAAUAAUUUGAACCUAUUUCUGCUAAUGAGUAGAAUUUUUCCUUUUAGUUUAUUCUCUCUUCAAUUCCUAGUAUUAUGAUAGAACAAAGAAGUUAACAAACGGUUUUUUGAGCGAUCACAUCCCAUGUUCGUCCAUUGUAUCAUUUCAUGCGGUUGAGAACUUUUUUGUCGUUGGAGGGGACAUCACAGGGUAUGCCAUCAGGUUUAUUGAAGGAUAGACAUAUAUGCCUCCAAGCAGGAUGAGAUAUCUCUAGUGUAAAUAAGGAUUUGAUGGUUUGAUCCUUUUUGGAAUCAAGAUAUGCAGCAUUGCAUGAUUCACAAGUCAAACAAAAUGGAGCUAGCCGAGGUUACUUCAUUUUGUUGGAAUAUUUUUUCUCACUCUUGGAACAUUUUGAAUUAGGCUUUAAUUGGAACUCCUUAAGAAAUUAAAUUAGAAGGUAUAGCAUGCCAUCCCAUGAUGACUGAGAUGUUCUUUUUGUAAGAAACAUGGCUUCCUUUGUCAUAUCAUAAAGUGCCAUAUGUCCAUUGUUUGUUAACACAUGUUUUUGGCUUACCUAGCCCUAAGUGUAGGUCCAUGUUGUUGCAUUGGCUUGAGCCAGCAUGGAUUGACAUACUUAGUAUGGUGCUCUUUGCCAUUCACACUGUCUGGUAUGUUAAUCACGGUCAGAUGGAGUCCUUUCAACCCAUGGUUUUUCUACCAUUACAGCUAGCAGGAUUAGAGCUUCAAUGAUGAAAAAGAAAAGAGGCUUGUGCAUUUAGAGAAGUCUAAGCUGAGCAGGUGUUGAUUCAUUUGAUGGUGAUAUUGAAGGUGCACUCACUAUGGGAAGCCUAUUAUUUUGAAAAUGAUAUUGACAACUAUCAUCUUUUGCUGACUUCUGAUUAGGUGACAUAAUACAUAGCAACAACAGAUCCAAUCCAGUGGCCUUUGAUUGAUGAGGUUAAUAUGUACCAAACCAAUUUUCAAGAGUGAACAAACAAACUCUUCUUUUUGACCAGCUUUUGUCCUUUCAUCAUGAUCAUAUCUCAAGCCGAUAUGUGUAGCUAUUCCUUGUGAGUUUGGUUAGUUAAAUUUGAAAUACAGAAAUCACAUAGUGAAUAGUAGUGCCUCUUGGAUUUAAAUUGUUUUUCUCUGGCAAAUGGUCGAAGACUUAAAUGAUUCAGAAUGGACACCAUUGUAAAUUCUAACUGUUGAAUGCUGGCUUGCAAUUGCAAACAAAACUGGAUUUAAUUUUGACCCAGUGGUCACAUAAUGUGCCUCAGAGUUGAUUUUUCUACUUACAUCAAUCAUUACCUUCUUCCAAUCUAUGUUACAAUGCUUAUUGGAUUACCGAGCAGGUGUGCUGUUGUAUAUCUACAUCUCUUUUAGGUGCUUUCCCUAUUGUACAAAUUGAUUGCAACACUUGCCAAAGGUUGCAUUUCUGGAGAUCCUCCACUACUCAGCUGACGGAGGAAUUGCUGAAUAUAGUAUUAGUAAGCUUGACGUUUUGGCCAAUCAAAGCCAGCCUUCGCCAUGCUUGUCCCUUACUUGAGAACUUGAGAUGAUACAAACUCAUCCAUUUGGAAUUGAAAUAAGCUUGGUGCCGUUCUUGCGUUCAUAAAUAUUUAUCACUGCAAACUUGAAAGAGAGGGCAAAUUCUCAAUUAAGGAGAUCUAGGCAUGACUUCAGCUUUGAAGGAUAUCAGUUUGCAUUGACUGGUCAUGCUGUGGUUAGAAGUUCUAGGAUAUGUGCUAUGAUUCACCAUUCAUUGCUAUGUCAAAUAUGAUCAAUCUUACAUAUGAUCAGAAAUUGAGACAGGCCUGUAGAUCUAGUACAUUAUAGAAGAUAUCAUUAGAUGUUUGGAGACAUUAGGGCUGUAUACUGUUAGAACCCUUGCAGAUUCUAAACUUUGGGUUGAUCUCUUUAGGGGAUCGGCCUCCUUGGAACUCUAUAGGGGUUCCUCCCUCCAAGUUGCUGUUCAAAGGCUGCAGAAAAGAUUCAUCUAUUGCUUAUGAAAAGAGGAGGAAUACAUGACUAUUUAUAGGGCUUCUAAACCCUAACUCCUAAUAGGACUCCUACUAAAGACUCCUACUUCUAACCAACUCCUGAUAGGACUCCUACUUAAGACUCCUAUUCCUUUACAACUCCUAAUUCUUAAGACUCCUAUUCCUUUACAACUCCUAAUUCUUCUUUAAGAAACAACCUCCUAACCAUGGCCGGCCUCUUUACCUCUUAAAUAGGGGUCGACUUAGGUAGGUUUUACAUGAAUGUCCCUCUCAAUUAGGACUCUCCUAGCUAGAGUCCUAACAGACCCGCCCUCUUCAAAUCAGCCUUGUCCUCGAGGCUGACGAUUCAUGAAUUCUGGGAAUUUGAUCUUCAAGUCAUCAUAGUUCUCCCAAGUGGCAUCUUCUGAUAAUAGGUUCGCCCACUGUAUUAGCACUUCAGUAGUGGGUCGUCAUCGUUGAGUCACAAUCCGUCGAUCAAUAAUAGCACUUAGUUGGGUCUGGAGUUCUCCUUGCAUAGUCAUAUUUGGUGGGUGGCUUUGGGCUAUCUCCAAGCACCUAUUUACAACUUUUGUCUAGCCAUCGGUUUGUGGGUGAUAUGCCGUACUCCUUUUCAAUUUAAUACCCUGUAUAUGGAAUAACUUUGUCCAAAAUCUGCUUGUGAAGAUGUAAGUAGAAUUUGUCACAAGCAUAAUGCAUCCCUUAUAGUGUAAUUCUUUUGAGUCCCAAUUGUAAUGAGCCACGGAGCUUGGUGCUUCCUCCAAUCUUUUUAUAAUCUUAUUAGUCUCUGAAUCUUCCUACUAUUCUAUCUUAAUAUCCUCAAGGAAGUCGCUGGUCGGAAGUGAAACGGUCGAAACUUCAGCUUGCUCGGGUAGCUGCGAAAUCGCAUCUGCAAGAACAUUCUCUUUCCUCUUUUUGUAAGUUAUUUCAUAAUCAAAUCUAAGAAGUUUUGUUACCCAUUUUUACUGCUCAGGGGAUAUCUUUCGCUCCAAAAAGUACUUAAGGCUUUUUUGGUCGGUUUUAAUUUGAAAUCGUCGACCAAUCAAGUAGGGUCUCCACCGCGUUGCUGCGCGCACAAUGGCGAGCAUCUCUUUAUCAUAUGUUGACUUAUUUUGAUAGGAGGGAGAUAAUGCCUUGCUAGUGUAUGCGAGUGGUCGACCAUCUUGUAUGAGAAUGGCUCCAAUUCUGACUCCAGAUGUGUCGGCCUCAAUAAUGAAGGGUCGGUUGAAAUCUGGUAGUGUUAGCACCGGCGUCGUUGUCAUGGCUGCCUUAAGUUUGUCGAAGGCAGCGGAGGCUCUGUCUAACCAUUGGAAGACAUAUUUUUCCAGUAAGGAAGUAAGUGGUGCGCUGAUCUUUCCAUAGUUUUUCAUGAACUUGCGGUAGUAGCCUGUUAAACCCAGAAAGCCAUGUAGCAAUUUUAUGUUUCUCGAGGUCGGCCAGUUUUGCAUUGCUCCAAUUUUGAAGGGGUCCACUGCCACACCUUCCUCUGAUAUGAUAUGCCCAAGAUAUUCCACAUUCUGUUGAAGAAAACAAAAAUUCGUGGUUGUUGUGUGUUCAAAAGGUGGUUUUCCGUAUGUCUUCUUCGCACGCUCGUAUUUAAUGAUACCCGGAUCAAAGGUCCAGCUUUGUGAAGAUUUGUGCUCCCUUUCAUCUAGCAAUUCAUCUACUAUUGGAAUAAGGUAUUUGUCCUUGAUGGUUAUGCCAUUGAGAGCUCGGUAAUCAACACAUAUUCGCCUUGUUCCGUCCUUCUUGCGUAUAAGUAGCACCGGCGAAGAGUAGAGGUUGCAACUUGGCCGAAUAACUCCUGUUUCGAGCAUCUCUUUUACAAUCCUUUCUAUUUUAUCCUUCUGGAGAUGUGGAUACUGAUAUGGUUGAGCAUUUGCUGAAGAUUUGCCUGGAAGAAUCGUUAUACAAUGAUCAUGCCGACGGGUAAGAGGUAGGUUGCGCGGUUCGUCAAAUAUAUUUAAAAAUUCAACAAGCAAAGGAAGUAGAUUUGGAUCUUCAAAUUCUGUUGGCUCUCCCUUAGUUUGCUGCUCAAGUUGUACCAAAAAGUUGCUGCAUACUUUAUGCAAAACCUUCUCCAUUUGUUGUGUGCAAAUCGUUGUUAUGUUGCCCCCACGUUUCCCGUGCAAUGNNNNNNNNNNNNNNNNNNNNACAAGCAAAGGAAGUAGAUUUGGAUCUUCAAAUUCUGUUGGCUCUCCCUUAGUUUGCUGCUCAAGUUGUACCAAAAAGUUGCUGCAUACUUUAUGCAAAACCUUCUCCAUUUGUUGUGUGCAAAUCAUUGUUAUGUUGCCCCCACGUUUCCCGUGCAAUGUCACCUGUUUCUCCUUACUGUAAAAUUUCAUAAUUAGUUUCAUAAAAUUCCAGGAAAUAUCACCUAAUGUCAUCAACCAUUUAAUUCUGAGCAUGGCCUCAUGAUUGUUAAGAGGGAGAAGGAAGAAAUAUGCAAUUAUCUCUUGGUCCUGCAGCAAUAGUUUCUCCUGUGGGCGCCUACGAUCACAAUUCAAAAUCCGUCCGUCGGUGACCUUAACAUCAAACCUGCAGCGAUUCUCGAUAGGUAAUGAUAUCCGAACAGCAAGCUUACUAUUUAGGAAGUUAGUAGUACUGCCAUUGUCGAUGAGAACAGUGAUCGGUUGUUGUUUGAGAAGGCCUCCAACUUUCAUUGUUUGUGGGUUUGAGUAGCCGGCUAAUGCGUGUACUGUAACGUCAGUCGGUUGUGGCUCUUCUUCCGCAUCUUCUUUAUGUUCAAGGUUCUCUUUUGAAUGUUCAAUGAUCUCUUCUUCUAUUGGUUCAAUCAUAAGAAGUCUCCCUUUCAUCGUUUGCGGGUUUGAGUAGCCAGCUAGUGUGUGUACUGUAACGUCGGUCGGUUGUGGCUCUUCUUCCGCAUCUUCUUCGUUAUGUUUAAGGCUCUCUUCUAGAUGUUCAAUGACCUUUGCUUCUAUUGGUUCAAUAAUAAGAAGUCUCCCUUUAUUACAGCGAUGCUCACGGCUCCACGGCUCGUCACAAUGCCAACAUAACCCCUUCGCAUAUCGCUCCCGAAGCUCUUCUCCUGUUAACCUCUUUGGUGCAGGGACUUGGUCGACAGUAGGGGGGGCUGAGGGCUUCAAUAUUAUUGGUUGAGGAGUGACCCUAGUCCUCCGGGCUUCAUGGUUCAAUUGCUCCUCUUGAUGUCGUGCGAAAGAGAUGGCUGACAUAAGCGUAUAUGGUUGUCACGCUUUAACUUCUCCUCGGAUCUCCGGCUUCAAGCCCUCAAUAAAGGUCCUCAAUAGCUGUUUUUGAGACCAAUCACGAGUUUGAUUAGAUAACCUUUCAAACCUGGUUUGGUACUCUUGAAUGGUGGAGAUUUGUCGGAUCUUUGUUAGUUGUCCGUCAAUAUUCUCGUAAUCGGUUGGUCUGAAGCGAAUCAGCAGUUCUUCUUUGAAUUGUCGCCAUGAAAGGACUCCAUAAGUAUGUUCAAACCAGUCAAACCAUUGUAUAGCAUUCCCUUCAAGAUGUAUAGCUGCAAUUUUUACCAUAGAUACAUCCGCGGUUUUGUGGUACCGAAAAUAUCGCUCCGCGCGCGAGAUCCAACCAAUCGGGUCUCCUUCUUCUCAUCUAGGGAAGUCCACUCUCAUGCAUGGAUAGUUGGGGUCGGUCAUAUAGCCUCCCCUCCCUUGGAAGUCAUCUCUUCGGGCUUGGUGUGAUUGGGCAAAGCUCUCUCCUUGAUAUGAUUUCUUCGGGCUUAGUGGUCGGCCCAAUCUGAGUUCGGUAAAGAGCGUCCGAAUCUUAUCCUCCAUUCGCGCCUCCAAGGCUUCAAAUUUAGCAUUGAUUGCCUCCUUAGAUGCCAUAGUAUAUGCCCCCAAAUCUAUGAUGUUAAUAUCUCUCUUUUGUUGUUGGGUUAAAGGCAUGUAUAGGUUAAGAGAAGUGAUGGUUGAAAGGGUUGGUGGAUUGGUGGAUGUAGGCUGCGGUUUAGGCCUGUUUUGUGGUUGUUUUGGGUGCAGUUUGAGGGUGUGGUUUGGCAGAGUUUUAGGGUUGUGGAUGAAAGUUUUGGAUCUGUGGUAGAUGGUAGUAAAGGUUUGACAUAAAUCCGUGGAAGUUGCAGCAAGUAUGUGCUGUCUUGUAAGAGUAGAAUUAUCGUCGAAGAAACAACGAUUUCUCGACGUAAUUUUCACCAAAAACUUGAGAGAAUUGAGGAGGGAAUUGAUAGAAAAAUCACAGUUUAUAUGACAGCAAGGAUGUCUAAUUUAAUCAAGAAAAUUUCGGCAGUAUAACAGCAAGGAAAUUGGUGCAAGUUGAGAUUGCAGAAUUCUCGUCGAAAAAUUUCAGCGGUAUACGACGAAAAUUUGCAGCAACACAAAAUCGUUUUUAGAGAUGAAUUUCUCAAUAGAACAAUCUUAGAUGGAAGCCAAGAUGAUCUAUGAAGUGUAUAAGAAAUUUCAUUCAAAAAAAUUGCAAAUAGAUGGGCUAAGGCAAUAAUAUGCGGCUGAAAUUUUCUGUAGCAUAGAUUUUCAAGUGCAGCAAUAUGCGGCUGAUUGGACAUAAAAGAUCAGUAGUUUAUAUUGAGAAUUUUUCGAUGAAAUCAAAGGGAAAUCCAUGGUUAGGAAGUGCCAAAGAUGUCAAAAAAAUUUCGUAGAAAUUUGGAUAGAAAGAGUACAGUAGCAAAAUCAAAGAGAUGAUGCUAUGCGGCUGGAAUUCUGCAAUGUAUCUUUCGUCGUAGAGAUAAAAAGUUUAUACAGCAAUAUAGGAACAAAUUUUUUUUUUAUUUAAGAUUUUUGAAUAAGGAUAACUAAAUUACAGCAGUAGUAAGGUAGGAAACCGGAACCUGUUGCAAUUCACGGGGAGAUCAAAGGAUGAUCCGCGGUGGUGGAGAUGAUGCCGGAAUUCGAUGACGAUCUUUUAAGCAAUUGUGGAAAUUGCUUUGGAUGGUUGUGGAGGGUUGAUGGAUGGCUGUGGAAGGGCAGCGAGACGCCAAGAACGCUGCUCUGAUACCAGGUGUUAGAACCCUUGCAGAUUCUAAACUUGGGGUUGAUCUCUUUAGGGGAUCGGCCUCCUUGGAACUCUAUAGGGGUUCCUCCCUCCAAGUUGCUUCUCAAAGGCUGCAGAAAAGAUUCAUCUAUUGCUUAUGAAAAGAGGAGGAAUACAUGACUAUUUAUAGGGCUUCUAAACCUUAACUCCUAAUAUGACUCCUACUCAAGACUCCUACUUCUAACCAACUCCUAAUAGGACUCAUACUUAAGACUCAUAUUCAUUUACAACUCCUAAUUCUUAAGACUCCUAUUCCUUUACAACUCCUAAUUCUUCUUUAAGAAACAACCUCCUAACCCUAGCCGGCCUCUUUACCUCUUAAAUAGGGGUCGACUUAGGUAGGUUUUACAUGAAUGUCCCUCUCAAUUAGGACUCUCCUAGCUAGAGUCCUAACAUAUACCUUCUUCUCUGAAUGUGAUAUACUUUUUGGCACUUCCCUGUGUGGCAUUGGGAAAAAGGAACCAAGAAAAGAUGCCCUUGUCUUGAGAAUAAGGGCUGUAGUUCCAUAACAUUCUGUUGCAAGUGCACAACCUCCAAUGCUGUGCUUCCAAUCUUGAGAUUCAAGCACAAGUUUGCAGCUGUCUCAUAUUUCUAUUAGCCCUCAGAAAAUUGUGUGGGAGUUCUUUUUCCCAUCUGCAUGAACUAACACCUAGAUGUCAGUUUUCUGUUGUUUUCUUCAACAUGACUUGGUCGAUCUCAGCAUUCUGCACCCACUGUUGUAUGUUCAGGCUCAGGUGACUUAAAUAACUCUUUUGCAAGCUUUUACAAAUCUAGGACUUGAACUUUCUUUUACAUCUCAUGCAUGACAGUGUCACUUCCCUCAGCUUAUUAAUUUCAUACAGCUUCCUCUUAAGUAUUUACCUGCGGCCAAAAUCAGUUUUCUUGAAGUUUAAAUUGACCUAAAACAGUUACUGCUUUUGGUGCAGCUGAAAACAUGAGUAAAGAUCCAUUGCAGAGUAUGAAGCAGGAUGGUGAGCAAAACUCUGUUUAUAACUUUCUCUAUCCCAGCAAAGAGCUUCUUCCAGAUGAUAAAGAAAUGAGCAUAUUUGACCAUUUAGAAGAGCUUCGCGAGAGAAUUUUUGUCUCAGUUUUGGCUUUGGGAGCUGCUAUGUUAGGCUGCUUUGUUUUUUCUAAGGAUUUGAUCAUAUUCCUUGAAGAGCCUGUUAGUUCACAAGGAGUUCGCUUUCUGCAGUUAUCACCUGGAGAAUUUUUCUUUACCACUCUAAAGGUAAAGUGUUUUCUCCAUGGCUUCAGGUUCCGUAACUAAUUUUUUGGAUGCUUACAACUGAAAUGAUUGCUGUUUAGCUACAUGUGCCAGUCUUUUCAAAGUUGAUGCUAUAGAUAUUCUGUGCAUUAUGACCACAUGAAUUUUGCUUCUUGUUCCUUACAAAAGCUCAUUGUCCUUUGACACAUCUAGUAAGCAUUCUUAUGUUCAGAAGCCUAUUCUUCUCAGCAAUCACUAUUAAUAUUUAGUGACCUUAGCUGAAUAUCAUUGACUUAUAAACAUAUCCAUUUUACUCUUAUUCUGUGUUCUUUUGAUGGUGGGGAAUGGUUUGUUGAGUCUUUGGGAAAAGAAUAGUGCAUCUGUAGCUUAACACUUCUAUUCUGUGAUUUGCCUUCUCACUUCUUAGAUGUUCUGUACAACUUUUAGCUAGCUUUCUUUUUGUUUCUUGUUUGAUAUCAGUCAAGUUGAUAGAUGUGAUUGUGCCAGCUUAAACAGUAUGUUUUUGUCACACAGGUAUCUGGUUACUGUGGUCUUCUUCUGGGGAGUCCUGUCAUUCUUUAUGAGAUCAUAGCUUUUGUUCUUCCUGGUCUAACAAAGGAUGAGAGGAAGUUCCUAGGACCCAUUGUCUUGGGUUCCUCUGUCCUUUUCUAUGCUGGCAUUGCAUUCUCCUAUGCUGUUCUAACUCCUGCAGCCUUGAAUUUCUUCGUGAACUAUGCGGAAGGUGCCGUGGAGUCGUUGUGGUCCAUCGAUCAAUACUUUGAGUUUGUUCUCGUUCUUAUGUUCAGCACAGGACUGUCUUUUCAGGUAAUGUUUCAUGAUCCUGUAAAGUUAUGUUUUCCAUGUUAGCUGCUGCAGACUAUUAGCUUCAAACACACUUUUAAUUCCAUCAUGUUUUCUGCGUGUACUACUGCAAAAAUGCAUGGCAUACUUGAACAAUCUUGCUUUUGCAGGUUCCUGUUAUCCAGCUUCUACUAGGGCAGGUUGGUCUGGUGUCCGGGGACCAAAUGUUAUCGAUCUGGAGAUACGUCGUGGUUGGUGCCGUUAUUGCCGCUGCCAUUCUUACCCCAUCUACCGAUCCCCUGACGCAAAUGCUACUGGCAGGGCCUCUGCUGGGUCUCUACUUGGGUGGUGCAUGGAUGGUCAAAUUAAUAGGUCGUUAAUCCAAUCAUCUUGUGCAUGUUUUAUCUUCACCAGGGAAAUUAUGUGUAUCAAAAUAUGAGGCACAUCUCCUUUACAUAUGACAUUACUGUUUACAUUCAGUGUAUAUUUCUUGUAGGCCAUUUAGAUCUUUCCAAUCGCAGUCUUUUUAAGUGUUUGUUAACUGAUCAUAUCCAAACUUCGACAAUAGCUUAUCUUGUUAUUGUAACAAUUCAGGACUAGUAUGCAGUAUGAUUUGGUAUUACAAGGAUUAAUACACAAGAAAAAGCUCAUGUAAUGACAAUCCAUUUUGUUCUAUUUAAUAUGUAGUUUAAUCGACUUUGGUGUCCUAAUUAUUGAGUUUAUGCUGUAUUUUGGAGUUGGCAUCAUCUAUAUAUAUAUAUAUAUAUAUAUAUAUAUAUAUAUAUAUAUAUAUAUAUNNNNNNNNNNNNNNNNNNNNAUAUAUAUAUAUAUAUAUAUAUAUAUAUAUAUAUAUUUGUGUCAAGUUUUGUUUCUUGAAAUCUUUGCUUUCCUUCGAACAUUUUUUUUUCCAGUGAUCGGUGUUGCUAAUGAUCUAUUUAUGCUACUGAAAAAGUUACAUGUGGAUUACAUUUAGCAUGUAUAUGUAUUUUUUUGUUUGUUGUUUUCUCAAUAACAUUUUUAGGAUGAUAACCAAGAGCUAUAAUUCCAUGCACCCCAAAUAUACAGGACAGUACAACUUGCCAUGAUAUCUAAAAAUGUUAGGAUGGAGAAUAAAUAUGACCAACUAGGAUUUUUGGAUGGAGAAUAAAUAUAAUCAACUAGUCAAAUAAAUAUAUCUGUUUAGUCAAUCAGCGUGUUUCACAGAAUGGUCAGUACAACAGAAUUGGUAGAAUUAGCUAUUCCAUUUAUGUUGUUGUUACUUGUCCAGUUAGCGACAAAAGAAUAAUUUUUACUAUUUUUUUCUCUCAAUCCAAACAAGAACAUAAAGAGCAGCUACCUCGCCGAUCAAGAGUUUCGGAGGAGAUCUUUAGCCCAUUACUUGCAAAUCUCUCUAGGUUUCUAGUUGGGAUGGUCUAGUUUGUUUAAGUUCUAUGUAUUAAAUUCCUUUGUGCCAUGGUACAAGUUUCUGUCACAGAUGAUUAUUCUGUAUAAUGAUUUUGCAGGGUGUUCUGGAUGGGAAAUACGAUGACUUACCCGAACAGUCGUUUUACAUGGUUGGAGGUAUCGAGGAAGUCAUCGCCAAGGCCGAGAAGAUUGCAAAGGAGUCAGCGUCAUGAUAGAAAUUUCUCUCCUCAUUCAGAAACUGGAGCGAUAUAGCCUAUGGGACCACCUGCGAUGAAGAAAAAUUGCAUUUCCGUAGACAGCUUUUUCUUUGUUUUAAUGCUGGCCGGAUUUUUUAUCUUCUUCUGAGAGAGCCAAAAAUGAACUCUCAGAUCUUCUUGGCACGAUGAUAAGUAUAUGCAGCGACUCGUUUCUUUCUUGCAUGAGACAUUUGCACUCCAAACUGUAUCCAAAUGUGUAUUUUGUACCAGUCACUGAACCAUGUAGUUUGUUUCUCUAGUGGUUCUUACCUUCUGGUUUAAUAUGUUUCUUUUACCAGUUGCAUAAUUUUCUUGAUUAAUGAAUUACAUGGAGUGAAUUAAUAUUUCUUUAGAACUCCCUUUCUUGCGAUUCACUGCAUCUUAAUAAUUAGGACAUCUCAUAGGUCAAUUUUAUCUCUCUAGUUUGCACAUUUUGAUGUUUUGAGUUGUUCGAGUUGGCUUUAGCUUGAAUUUUAUUUAGUUGCAGUCCAUAGAUUCGACGAAAGGAAUUUUAAUUUCUUUUACGGAAAUCACCUUAGAAUUAUUAUAAACUCCAAAAAAGUCUUUCCGAUAAUUUGACAUUUCGUUGACCGUGGACUUCGGCCGCAAACGUUGGGUGGCCAUGUCACCCAUCAAACCUCUGUGGGGUGAUUCAUCCUUUCUGAACGGUGGAUGGUGAGAAGCCAGAUCACCCCCUAAACUUUUCUAGGGUGAUUCAUCCUUUCUCAAUGGUGGAAUGAAUCAUGUAUUUUAUGGAUCUAUAAAUGUUGGCCACGUCAACCAUGUCGACUUGAUCGUUUUGACCGUUCUACGUAGCAACGUAACCCAAAUGAGGCAUAACCGCGUGCAAGAGGCCCAUCACUGAUUCGCGGCCUUCACUGGGCCCAUUAAGCUCAUCACGAUGGUUCAUCCGAAUGCGUCUCAACCCUGAUGCAAGCGAUCGCCGCAACCGCCUACAGAAACCUACGCCGAGGGUAAACCGCGUUAAUAGCAAACCAACAGGGCGGAUGGCAUACGCUGACGUGCCCUAAUCCUUCAGGGAAAGGGCUUCGGUACCCCCCCCCUCCUAUAAAUCUGCCCAAUCCUCGCCUCUCUUACCGUCCAUUCCUCCGAGCUCAGAUCGUCGAUCUGGCCGUCGAUCGCAUCCGAGGUGAGAUGAGUCCCUUCUCUGCUCCGUCUAUCGCCCUGUUUUGCUUCUUUCCUUCUUGUCGGCUUCGACGUUCGAUCUUGAGUUGGAAAUAUCUGAUUCAGCUGGAUCCGAUUGUCCUCUGUGUUCCUCUUGUUGCCUAUUUAUUUGUUGUUUUUUUGUUAUGGGUGAGAUUGGAUGAUCUAAUGAUUGAUCGACCGUGUCGAUUAUUGUGAUAGUCUGUUUUUCGAGUUUCUUGAAUCUUGAUGUGUUUGGAUUGUUUUGAUUUUGCGUUGUUUACAUGGAAAGAGAUAUAACUGAGAUUUCGAUUCAUGGCUGGAUUAGAGCUGGGUUCUUUCUUUUAUGGUUGUUAUGGUUAUUUGAUGUUGAUAUAUAUGGGAGAUGGAAACUGAUGUAUGGUUGGAUCGACAUAUUGCCAUUGUUUAAUAUUUAAUGCGUAUAUGAUUCAGUAUAGUGAAGUUUAUGUUUCUAGAUUAUAAAUCUCUUAGGCCUGGCUAAUCUUUGGUUAUGUUUGAAUGUGUAUAAUAUGACGUGUCCUGUCAAUAUCUGUGGUAACAGGUGCUUUGAACGAGGGCGGGAUUUGACAAAUUUAUUCCUUUGAUAGCUGCUAAAUUCAUUGGUCUAAUUUCAGUAGCUCAACUUGAUGCGUUGGAUAUAUUUUGGUUUGUGAUUCCACAUGAUUAUGUUUUGGUCUGCGAUUGCUUCAUUGUCAUAGAAUUUCCAAUGUUUGUCCCUUUUUUUCUGUAACUGUACUAAUCAAACUCUAGAAAGUGGUAAUAAAACUCAAAUGGGCACACUUCUUGUCUAUAUCUAUAGUUGGUGAUAAGCAAAAAGUUAUUUCGUUCAGGCAACAAGGUUCUUUAGGUUGUUUGUAUUAUGAAAGAUGUUUUAUCACAAUGAAUCUGAUGUGUAAACUGCUUUAUCAUUCAUGGAGGAUGGCUAAUGAUUUCCAUGAGCUAAUGCUGGAGAGAUGUAGUAAGUAGACAUCAAUUAUCAACAAGCGCUUGGAUUUUGUAGCCUCAUCUGCUCUAGAAGAUUAAAGAUGAAGGUUAAUGGUGGAGUCGCAAAAGCAGUUAACUGGAGUCGUAGGUCUCUAAAAUAGUGGUAAACAUCAUGAGCCGUGUUUCUCAGGUAACUGAUUGGCAUGAUCUGUUUUGAGCUACCUCAAAUUCAAACUGUGGAAGGACUUCUCAUUCUAGACCUACCAUUCACCUAUCUCCUGUACUGCAUUGGCCUAUAGCCGAGCACCAUAGUGUUAAACUGGAGUUUUCUAUAUUAACUGACAGCAAAUUCUAUUCCAGGAAGUUUUGAUUAUGGUUGUGGCAUAUAUGCACUGGAUAUUAUUUUACCUAGUUUGAAAGUUUGUCGCUGAAUAUCUUCUAAGUUCAGUGUACAUGAUUUUGGAAGUUCAUUACAGACGGUGGAUAUUUUUCAUUGGAUAUAUGAUUUCAGACUUUCCAUUGUUUAAACAAAGCAGAUGGGGGUAAGUAGGAUAUGGCAAUUUACAUGGGUACACUGGAUAAUUUUCAUUAGUUAUAUGAUUACAGACUUGUCCUUUCCCUCUUCUUGUGUUGCAGGCAUUCAUUUUGUUCUAUUUGCAUCUGAAUUUAAUUACCAAUGUGGCUGACCUUGCUUUCUUUGUUAGGUUUUCAUGUUUUCCAUUUGCUUUGUGGAUGAAUUUUUUCAACAAAAGAUGUUAUAUCAUUUCAAAUGCCAAUGGCUUCUCCAGUAAUCAGGCAAUCGACAGAAUUACACAUCUGCGGUCAAAUUUGUUAGAUGUUGGGCCAUGAUGUAUUUAAUGGGAUCACAAAGUUCUAGAAGGAAUUGUGCAGCUAAUAACCCAAUUAUACUGUUAAUGAGAUUUUACCUACUUUGGCACUUUGUGAAUACAAUCAAGCUGUUUUCAGCUAGGCAUGACACACUCACUCAAAAACUAGAACCAAAUGAACAUUGUAGUAUUCUUGGUCUCAUAUUUUGGAUUCUGUUCGACUCUGUUUUGCUUAUAAAUUGGUGCACUGCAUAUGACACAUUUACAUUUUGUUUGUUAGAUCUGUUAAGUGUUUCCUUUUUUUCUCACUGAAUGAUAGUUGGUCAACAAUGAUUUAGGAAGUCAAAAGCCAUAACUAAUACCAUUGCACAUUGCCAAAGUCGAGGGGGUGAACAUUGAAGCUUCUUUUAUGUCUGAGCAAGUCUCUCUCUUUUUGGUAUUAAUCGGAUUGCUUGGAGAAUAUUCUCCGACCGCUAGAAGGGAAAGGCUCUUUUGGGGGAGUUUUAGCUGCAUGCAUUACAGGUCACAUCAGCAUUCCGCACCACUUUUGGGUUGCUACUGCACGCAACCUCUUCUGAUCACGGGGGACUUUGCUGGUGUUUGUAAAGGAAAGGACAGCAUUGCCACUAUCAGUUCUUGCUACCUUUGACAGACCUUAUUUGUCUUACCAAAGAAUCAGCUUAGUGAAUAUGGCUUUGCAGAAUAUUGGUGCUUCAAACAGCGAUGAUGCCUUUUAUAGGUACAAGAUGCCUAAGAUGAUAACAAAAAUUGAAGGUCGUGGCAAUGGCAUCAAGACUAACAUUGUGAACAUGGUUGAUAUUGCUAAAGCACUGGCUAGGCCUGCUUCUUAUACAACAAAAUAUUUUGGAUGUGAGUUGGGGGCACAGUCUAAAUUUGAUGAUAAGACAGGGGUUUCUUUGGUUAAUGGGGCCCAUGAUACUGCUAAGCUUGCUGGUCUGCUUGAGAAUUUUAUUAAGAAGUAUGUGCAAUGCUAUGGUUGUGGCAACCCUGAGACAGAGAUUAUUAUCACCAAGACCCAGAUGUUAACCCUAAAAUGUGCAGCCUGUGGAUUUGUGUCUGACGUUGAUAUGAGGGACAAGCUGACCACCUUUAUUCUGAAGAACCCACCUGAGCAGAAGAAGGGAGCAAAGGAGAAGAAGGGAAUGAGGAGGGCUGAAAAGGAGAGGAUGAAAGAAGGCGACACUGCUGAUGAGGAACAGAAGAAGCUGAAGAAGGAAGCAAAGAAGAAAGGAGUCACCUCUACCAAGGAAGUAACCUCUUCAAAGGCUACCGCUGCUAAGAAGAAAGCUGGAGGUGGCUCUGAUGAGGAUUGUUCAGCUUCCCCUCUUGGCAGUCGAAAUGUUGCUGCCAAUGCUGCUGCUGAUGAUGACGAUGUCCAGUGGCAGACAGAUACCUCAUUGGAGGCAGCUCAACAGCGUAUCCAGGAACAGCUGAGUUCUGUGACAGCUGAGAUGGUAAUGCUCUCAACCAGUGAGUCCAUCCCAGAGAAGAAAACAGAAAAAGUAAACAAGGGAGUUACCAAUGGCAGUGUGAAACACGAGGAGAAAAAUGGUGCAGGCCAAAAUGCUGUCCUACCCAACAGUUAUGACACAUUGCUAGGGAAGAUCAGAAACAAUUUGAACAAGGGAUCUACCCCCAGCCAGCUCCAGACUUUUCUGGGUUCUCUGACUGCAUCUCGUCCGGAGGUUAUGGCUGCUCUCUUUGAAGCUCUCUUUGAGGGAGUGGGGAAAGGGUUUUCCAAGGAGGUUGGGAAGAAAAAGAAGUACAUUGCUGCUGCUGUCCAUGGUGAAGACUCCCAGGUGCUUCUGCUCCAUGCUAUCGAAGCCUAUUGUGGCAAGUGUAGCCCAGAAGCUGUGAAAGAAGUUGCCCUUGUUGUGAAAGUACUUUACGAUGAUGACAUCCUGGAAGAAGAGACCAUAAUUAAGUGGUAUGAAGAAGGUACUGCAGGUGGCAAGAACUCUCAGGUAUUCAAAAAUGUGAAGCCCUUUGUGGAGUGGCUUCAGAGUGCAGAGUCUGAAUCCGAUGAAGAGUGACAACAUGCAUUUUUCAUUUGCGUUUGCUGUGGCUGUCAUCAUAGCAAGUCAUAUAAGUCUGAAUGUUUCAGAGUCGUAUGUGAAGGGCUCAUCUACCAAGCCCUCGUCGGUUUGAGUUGGUCUGUGUGAUGGUCAUAUCGUCGCUGUGCAAUAAGCUUGAUUGGUGUCCAAGCAGCGGAAAACAACUUUGUUGUAAUAAGUUUGGUUCAGUCAUUUGGAUUCUUUUAUCGUUGAAUGUGCUCAUGCUGGUUUUUCACUUUUUAAUUCUUCAAUUACAACUCUAUUUUAUGCAAAAUUUGACCUUAUUUGUUGAAAUAAGUUUGGUUCAGUCCUUUGGAUUCAUUCUUUUAUCCUUGAAUGUGCUCAUGCUUUUUAGUUCUUAUUUUAUCCCAUUUUCCUUCCUUACUCUUUAUAUAUAUAUAAACAAAAAAUAUGUAAAAUUUAUCCUUAUUAGUUGGAAUUACCUUUUUUAGAAUUGAAUUUUAGUAUUUUUUUAUUUAUCUUAUCCUAUUUUCAUUACUAACUGUUUUUUUUUAAAAAAAAAAAUUAUUUUAUGCAAAAUUUGUCCUUAUUAGUUGGAAUUACUUUAUUAGAAGUGUGAGAAGUUUGAAACUAUGUUAGGAAAGAUGCAGGUGGGUUGAUAAGGUUGCUGCCUUCUCGUGUGGCUUUUGCUAUAUGCUGUUGUUGUAGUAGAUUCCAAGGUGUUAUUUAUAUAUGUGCUCCUUAACUCAUGAAUGCAGAUUCUGCCUUUUCAACAGUCCCUAGUUAUUUUUAUACUGAUCAAAGGAAGGAUUAUCCCUACCAAAGUUUCAUAUAAUGAAAUCAUCUAAUCUUAUUAUGUUUUUCUGGUGAACUGUGCACAUCUAUCCGUUCUAUAUUGGUUACCACUGAAAGCAUGGUUCUACCCAGCCAUGAAUGAUAGAUACAUCAUCAUCACCACUUACUAGUAGCAUUCUAAUCACUAUAUAUUUUCUAGCUACCAACAACGACCACAACCGCUCACCCAACUUUUUUUUUCUUUCCGUCUUGGUUGUGCUUCAAUCAUUCACCAGCACUUGCAUGCACACAUCUAAACUUUCCUUUACUUCGACUCCAUCAUAAGCUUGAUCAUAGUGUCCGACAAGUCCCUCUCGAUCAAGUAGAUGAUUGCCUAUAAAUCUUUUUUUUUUUUACAAUCAAUUUAAUUACAAAAUUUCCAAUUGACUACAGACAACCAACUACUAGUGGAUUUUUAUGUUCUAUACUACGUUGCGAGUCGAAAUUAUAUUUAGAUUUUGUUAGACAUCAGUCGGUUUAGAAUUAUGAGCUAUGAAGUUUCCAUCUCCUCCAUUUUUUUCCUUAUUACCACUUGCUUUUGUGUGCGACUCGAUUUUAUUUAUUGCACUUGCAAAAUUGAUCUGAUUGCUAUCUUUAAGAUUCGCAUCACAAUCUUAAUAAACGGUAAGAGUUUUUUUCAUUCUUUAUACAUGUCUGUAUGUAUAUAUGGACAAAGCUAAGCAUUAUUCUGGUCAUUUACCACAUGUACAGCCCAAUCGCGUCGGUCCAAAAAGAAUUCUCGGUAUCGGCUUCUAAACAUCCCCCCUUCACCCCGUGAAGACUUCCCCAUUUGAGAUCGAACGGAAGAACUAUUAAACCCGCCCCCCUCUCUCUCUCUCUCUCUCGCGAGGAGAUCCUUCAUGGAAUCUCCUUUUCCUGUACUUUCCACCCCGUUUGUUCAUUAAGAGGGUGGAUCUCGGCGGUCUCCGUGUCGGUGAUUUCUCUUCUGCUCCUUCUUCGAUUCUUUUCUGGGUGUUCGAUGCCUCCUCCUGGGCGAAGGCUUUUCCUCGCCCUCGCCCUCGCCCUCGCCCUCCUCUUCCUCCUCGUCCCGGGCCUCGACGCCCUGCGAACUCUUGGCGACGGCAGCGGCGCCGAUGUCCCCGACGCCGCCGUGGAGCUCAACGCCUCCAACUUCGAUAGCGUCCUCAAGGAGUCCCCGCUCAAGUUCGCCGUCGUCGAGUUCUUCGCCAGCUGGUACGGACUUCGCUCUAGUUUCCUAUCGGAAAGUUGACCUUUGUGCGAGGAUCGGGUUGACAAAGAUUUGUCGUUUCCGGUUUCUCUGCGAGUUGCGUGCUGGGGAUUCUUGAUCGGUGUGGUUAUUGGAUGAGAGAGGGCUCACUUAAAUCUCUACCCCCUUUGGUGGAUUUCUACUCUUGUUGUCUGGAUCAUAGGAAUUUUGGUUUGUUGAGCAGCUCCAAAUCGAAUAAUACUGGAAAAGAAUGAAACUUUGUCAUAGAUCAUGAUGCGAUUGUCACAACUAAGUCGAUGAAGAUGAUGAAAUUUCAGGCGAGUUAUUGGUUUGCUCCGAAACGAGGGGACAGGUUGGCAGGUGUUGUCUAUAGAGGCUUAUGAUAAGGUCAAUAGGAUGGUUUCCUAUGGUUGUUCGUGAAGUGGAUAUUAACGUUUUGGACACUUAUAAGGGUCAUGCUAACAUAGAUGUAAGGCCUUUUGCGUUUGCCAGUAGCUAAAAGAUCAUAUUGUGAGAAGCACCUUUCAUUAUAAAGGUUUGCUACUUGGAACUUUAUCAUUUUGGUUUCUCUAGAAUUUCCUUUUCUUAAGUAAACACUGAUCAAGCGAACAAAAGCUACGCAAACAUGUGCCCUUGCCAUCUUUAGAUAGCCACUUCUCUUCCCUCCCUCCUACCCAACCCACCUAAAAGGGAUGAAAUUAAGAAAUAACGAGAGCACAAAGUGAAACACACUUAUACGUCCAUUUUUUUGGUAGGUCAUCUCGAGUUUUCAAAUAUCGGUUAGACUGUUAUGUGCAAACGGGUACUUAAUAUUCUAAUCAAGGACUGAUAUCCAACCAUAUAGCUUGAAAAUGCUUAAUAUUCAUUUUAUAUUAUUUUAUUCGGCGAUACCAGCUGUUAUAGGUCAGUCAGUAUGUUUCUGUUUGUAGAAGCAUAUGCAACUAAAGAAAAACAAGUCUUUCAAUAAAAAAAAUGUUGAUCCUGGUUUGUCUCUAGCCCAGUGAUCUUUAAACUCUCAAGAAAUUGGGAACUGAUCCCAGUCAGUUGAUUCCCAACUGUCUUUCUCCAGUCGGAUCUGAAUCCGAUCAGAUAAGCAUUAAACUCUCACCGCAGGUGUUUGUGAUUAUCUUAUGUGAGAAUGCUGUUUCUAGUUGAGGCACUUGUCCAUAUUUCUUUAUUCUUCUCUCUAAAUUUCUUUUAAUCUCUUUUUCUACCUCCACUUCUGGUUAUUUUAUACUUUGGGACUCUGUCUAACUAGAGUUCAUCAACAUAAUUCUAUCUAAUUAGCUCCAUCUGAGUUGGUGUGGCCCAACUAAAUUGGUGAUAUCUGGAAAACAAGGGCACAUCAAAUAAAUUUGAUAAGAGCAAGCUACUCUAUUUGAAAGCCUCCUUCCCAAAUUCCAAAAGAAUACAUAUUUUCUUGAACAGCUCGGUUGGCACUUUGCAGAUGGAAUAACAAGAUUUUGACAACUUGAAGAAAUAUUCCAAGACUAGUUAACUUCUUAUUCUAUGAUGCCUCUGACUCUGUCAGAUUAUUGGAAUGCUGUAGUGUACCCAGAGGUUGUAUGUUUUAGGUUUGGCUUUUGCUUAAGAUAUAGAGCAGUAAAAAAUUGUUCCCUUGUUGCUUAACAAAGUAGUGUUUCAGACAAUCACUUGAUCAAAAUGAAUGCUUUCAGAUAAACAUCUGGGGUCUAUGUGACCUUGGCACAAAAGAUCAAUCUAUUUCUUACAGAUUGCAUGGUUGUUCUAUUUGAUAGGCAACUCAUUGUUGCAAUAUAAUAUGGUCAUACGAUUUCAUAAAAGAAUGUGAUAUAGUCAGAGUUAAUGAUUCUCUUUUGUCGGUCAUUACCUUUGAUUCUAGUGGUAAAGGGAGGAAACAAUGUCCUUUACUCUGGAACCUUGAGUGGAUCUUCUAGGAAUUAUCAUAGGGUAACGAAAAGGAAACUGUAAUUUUAACUUGAUAUUUAUUACCACAGUCUCCUGUUGGAUUUGAUAUUUGAUGGGAUAUGAAUGAAAUUUAGUUUUCUGAUACCAUAAUUUGUUGCUUUCUAAAAUGCAUUUUGUCAUUGGUGCUGGAAAAGUAUAUUGCAUUUAUUGAUUCUGAAAUUUGCUUGCAAGGUUCGAGGAUUUUAUUAAUUCAAUUGGUUCAACACACAUUAGAAGGGAUGUUUACCUUAAAUCAUCAUUUUUACCAAUUUAAAUUUCCAAAUUGUAUUUUGUGUUGCCUUUUUCCGUUAUUAUUUCUUUUUGAUAUGUUUCAUCUUAAAUCUUUUAUUUUGCAGGUGUCCUGCUUGUAGAAACUAUAAGGUAUAUGUGCAUGUUAUUAGGAUUGAUUAUAUUUUAAGUUUUUACUUAUGAAUUUGACAUUGGUUGAGUAACAAUCACAUAGCCUCAAUAUGAGAAAGUUGCCAAGCUUUUCAAUGGGCCAAAUGCAGUGCAUCCUGGGAUUAUACUCAUGGCACGGGUUGAUUGUGCAAUGAAGGUAUGGUUUCUCUGAUUCAAACAUAGUAUUUUUUAUAUGUCAAUUAUCAAGAAGAUAUUUCUUGCUAAUAUCUUGGGUAGAUAUAUACUGCUUGUUCGUUUUUCAUGUAUAUAUUUUCUGCCUAUGAGAGAAAUGGGAAUUAAGUAGAAAUCUUAGAAUAAAUUGUGGAAUUUGGUAUAAUCUAUGGUACUGAGCUUGAUAGACGAGGGGUCCUCUGCACCUUCCUGGGUCCUAUUUUUGUCCAGCUAUGUGAUGAUAUACAUUUGAUCCCGCAGAUCUGAACCUUGUGGACUAGUUGAGGGCAGGAACAACAUUUUUCUAUCUCAAUUAGAUCUGACUGAGUAGAAAGUUGACUGGGAUGGACGAUUUCUGGUGCUGACAUGGUUGCCAAGAUUUAUAUUUAAUCACAUGAAACUAUAAAAUUCUGUGGUUUAUCAGAGUGGUCUAUUUAAAAAUUUUGUUUCUUUUAGUGAACUUCACAAUAUUGAUAAGUGCAAAUUAUUGGUCUAGUUUUGCAUCUUCUUUUCUAAUUGGUUUAUGUAAUAUUUGAUCCAUAUACUUAGUAGUUAGUACCACAAAAUUAAUGAGUAAUACUGUCAUUUUCUUUGGCAGUGCAGACAAAUGCAGAUCUUUGUGGUAAAUUUUCUGUUGGACAUUAUCCUAUGCUAUUCUGGGGCCCUCCACAUAAAUUUGCAUUUGGUCGAUGGGACCCUAAGGAAGACAAGGAUGAGAUACAACUGGUUGAUGAGUGGAGGACAGCAGAUCACCUGCUCAGUUAUAUAAACAAGAGAAUUGGCAGGCAAGUUGUACUUAUCAGUUCCUAUUGUAUAAUUUGUGGUUUUUUUUUGCUUCAUGUUCUGACAAAAUGGCAGCAGCACCUGUUUAAUUUAAUCGGAGGAAUUGUUCAUCUGAAAGUAAAACAACGGGGGAAAACCUCUCUCUUAUAUAGUAUUGCAAACUACAAGAGUGAUGUCAAUGUUCGAAAUAAUUAUUUUGUUAAUUUUCUUUAUAAAAGUUAUCAUGGUAAUUGCAUCCACCUUCAAUUUCUUUGUCAAUGAAUUGUUGUUAAAAUUGAACUAACUCACUAAAGGGUGAUCCAAAUGCACAAGGCUCCCACCGAUGUGGGUCCUAGCGAAGCAACUAAAAAGGGAUUUUUUUUAUAAAUAGUCAAUUCCCUAUCAUGAUUGAUGUUCAUCUAUAGUUUUGUUGUAUAUACCUUGCAUUCUAACCUUAAUAACUCUUUAGGCAGCAUAAAAUUUGAGACAAGAUGUUUAUACUUUGUGUUGUUAUUUUCUCCAUAUGUUUGUACUAGAGAUGAGAGCUCCUAGGGGCCACACAUAGGGCUCUACUCUCAUGUCAAACACACUUCAUACCACUGGGAAGAAGAAAACAUAUCUUUCAUUAAUUUCUUUAUAAACUAUAAUGUGAUAACUAACUACCCAUAAAAGUUAGCCUUUGAUAAUUAACUAUCCAUGAAAGUUAGCCUUCUGUAGACUUGCAAGGUUCUCUUUUGGCAAAAAUACAAUUUUAAUGUAAAUUCUGGAAGUCCCUAAGCCUACGUAAAGAGAGAUACAAACCUUAAAACUUACUUCGUAGUGACUUAAGGACUUCUCAAGCCAAUCUAUGACUAAAAUAGGAUCCAAAACGAGAAUGACAUGGCACAUGAUUCUGACUUCCUAUUUAUCAAUUUAAAAAGACAAACCUUCAUUUGAAUUUAGAAACUAUAUAUAUAUAUAUAUAUAUAUAUAUAUAUAUAUAUAUAUAUAUAUAUAUAUAUAUAUAUAUAUAUAUAUAUAUAUAUAUAUAUAUAUAUAUAUAUAUAUANNNNNNNNNNNNNNNNNNNNUAUAUAUAUAUAUAUAUAUAUAUAUAUAUAUAUAUAUAUAUAUAUAUAUGUAUGUAUGACCACUAACCAUUGAUUCAAACCUGACUCAUUCCAAGCUGAUCUCUGACUGAACUUGAACCAACAAAUUAAAUGCCUCUGCAUUAAUCAGCCAACCAUUGUCAUUUCGAAAAUCUUGUGUCACUUCUAGUUGGUAUUAUUUGUAGAGAAGACCAUAAAGAAAAAUUGUAUUGGAGCAUGCUAGAUCUUAGCUAUCAUUUUGUUGUCGCUAACUGCAAGUCUCUCUUGAAUGUGGUUUUGGAGAUGAUGGCCCAAUAGUUCUGUAUCGAUUGCCAAAAGAUGAUAAGAAUAUGCUUAGGUUUCACUUUGAAUACUUUCUUUAUUUUAGUUUCUUACCUAACUUGUUCAUGAGUUUUCUUUUUCACUUUAAUAUCUUGGACCUUAACUAACUACUCCUGAUCAAUGUCAUCUAUUGCUGCCUUGAGGUAAUUUGAAGUCACUGAAUCUUUCAUGCAUCGUAAGUCAUCAGAUACUACAUCUUUUUUACCUCUCUUUUGCAGCUCAUUCGGCUUAGAUGAUGAAAAAUAUGAAAAUGAGGAUACACUCCCAAGGAAUGCCUCUGAUCCGGAAGAAGUAUGCUCUUCUAGUCACUAUGAUUUAUUUAUAUCCAUCAUGUGUAAUUUUUAGUUGAGUUUUUCAUUUAGCAGUGAACUUUUAUGUGCUUUUGGAACUUUCCUUGUUAUUGAUUCUUCAUCUUCUAAGAUUGCUCGAGCAAUUUAUGACGUUGAGGAAGCAACAGCACAAGCAUUUGAAAUAAUCUUCCAGAACAAGGUUGAGUUCUUUUUCUCUGGAUGUAGUGCCUUUCUAUAUUUUACAUUCUCAAAAGAAUGAAUUUAUGUGAUGAUUGUACAAUUUCAGAUGAUCAAGUCAAAUACUCAAGUCCCACUUAUAAAAUUUCUUCAACUUUUGGUGGUUCAUCAUCCCUCAAAAAGGUCAAAGAUCAGGCUUUUUUUGUAUAUAGCUUAUAAGAUAGACUUUAGUACUUAUUCUGGAGUUAAUUAUUAGGUGUCGGAGGGGAAGUGCUGAAAUGCUAGUGAAUUUCGAUGAUUUGUGGCCUUCAGAUCCCAUAUCACUGAGUUCACAGGAGACUACCAUAUUGCAGCAAGUAGAUGCUUCCAAGUACUAUCAUAUCUGUGGCAAGGAAGUUCCUCAUGGGUACUGGGUAGGCAUUCUACUUUAUUACUCAUUUUGGAGCAUAGUAGUUGGUUCUUUUCGUUUAGAGAAAAUUAUUAAAUCCAAGUGAUUUAACCCAUGGAAUGUUCAUGUAUUUGCUUGGUUAACUAGCCUAACAUCAAUUUUUGGAAUAGUCUUAGAAUUGAAAUUGAUUUGUUUCAGUUAUGAUUCAGCUUACAAUAAUUUGUACAAGAUAAUGUGAUUUUUGUAUGUGCUUGAAACAAAAAGAAAAUACACCCUGACCUUUUUUUCUUUCUGCCUUCCCACCACCCACUUAACCCACCCACCAAAUAUAUAAACUUCUGUACUUGUAAAAGAACCUGCAUGUGAUUCUUUAUGUCUGAUGCAUAGAUUGACAAAUCAAAUGAUUAAAUGACAACCUAAUUCCUUAAGCUACUAAAAGGAGAAUUACAUCAUAAUUUACUUGGAGGGUUCACCUUUCAAGCAGCAAGUCAUGUAGUAUUUUAUAUUCCAAGUGAACUAUAUAUUUCUGUUCUGACCUUCAAAAUUGCAUAAAAUAGUUGAGCUAUCAAGUUCCUUGAAAGAUGUGGGAAAAUGAGAUCUGUCGAAAACUGGCCAUUGAUAAGCUAAGACUUGGUCUUGUGAAACUAUAACCUGCAUGUGAUCUUUUAUGGCUGAUGCAUAGAUUGACAAAUCAAAUCAUUAAUGAUAACCGAAUUCCUGUGUUAAUAAAUAUGGGACCAGCAUAAUUUACUGAAAGGUUCACCUUUGCAUAAUUCUUGAAUGCAUUGAUUGGUGAUGUUCUGUCCUGCACAUUGAACUAAUCUAUUCUAGUGACGGUAAUAAAAACAGGAUGAGAAAUGGACAGCUACUGUUCUUGUUUGUGAAGACAUAUCUAAAAGAUUUGCUAAAUUGUGUGUGACAUUAGAAAAUAUGAGUUAGUCAUAUGUAUAUUUAAAUAAGUAGCAACUUUUUAAUAUUAUCUAAUGUGUGGAAAUUUAUGUUGCAGAUAUUUUGCCGUGGGAGCAAGAAGGGUACCAGAGGUUUUAGGUAGUUUUCCAACCUUUGCAGAUACUGUUCUUUGGUAUUUUGAUUAUUGUUGCACAACAAAAUAAACUUAUUGGUAAAAUUUCAUGCCGUUUGCGGAAUCUGUAUAUUUCUUCAAAAAUUUCAUGCCGUUUGCGGAAUCUGUAUAUUUCUUCAAAAAAAUUCAUGCAUGAUGCAUCUCUGUCAUGAUGAUGACAAAUCCAUUCUAUGUGUAAGUGCAGAACAACUAAUUGUUAAUAUUUUAGAAGGUGGUUGCCAUUAUUUUCUUUUGCUGGGUCUUCUCGUGGGUAGUAAAGGACAUGGAGGUAAAUGAUCUGAGGAAGCAGGGUGAUGGAUUGUUUCCUUUCAUGGAUUUUCUGAUAUUUUUUAUACUUAUUCUUGGGUUUUCUACAUGUAUUGAUGCCAAAUAAUGCCUGCAGCCUUUGGAUAUUUCAACCUGUAUCUCAUGCCUAAUUUUAACAAUUUGUUAGAUACAGAAAAAAUUAUACCAGCCAACCAUGUAAUUGUUCCAUUCAAAAUCUAAUGUAGGCAACGGUCCUCAUCUCUAGUACACCUUUGAAUGUAAUUCAAUACAACUGCUUCCUUUGCAGUUUCUGAAAGAUUUAUACUGUUUUUUCCUUGUUUUAACAAAUAUAAUUUAAAAAACAUAGUUGAUAUUAGCUGAUUGAACUAUAAGAUGGUUGUAUGGAUCUCUGAAUAUAAUUCCAACUUUAUGAUCAUGAUGUGAGUUUUACUAGGAUCAUUAGCAUGCAGGAGUUUAUGCUGUGAAAAUCUUGGAUGUGGAAUUAUAUUGUAGGAACCUAUAUGAAUUUAGAACAUAUCAUGGUAAUUGAAUAAUUGUUUGUUCAACUUAGAGAAAUAUGAAGUCUUAGGAUAUAUUGAUUUGUUUCCUUCACUGAAUGGUGGCAUUUGAAUGUGCUUUCUGUCUCAGUUGUUAUAAGAAACAUGUUCAUCCAAACACAAAUCGGUUAGACUUUGGUGGUCAUGCUUAUUUGGUCUCAUUUUAAUAUCACCAUGCCCAGUACCAUUUUCAUCUGUUAUACCUCGCUGCCAUUAAUACCUUCUUGAUAGGUGGUAUUGACUAUUUUAUGCAUUUCUUGCAUGCAUCUUCUGAUGAUACAGUAUAUUUAAUAGAUCAUAUGGAAUGAGUUACUAUGGAGAACAAUAUAUGGUGACUGUAUAGCUUAUUGGAGUAACUGUGUUUGUUGCAGCUGUGGCCUCUGGGUUCUAUUUCACUCCCUAUCCGUUAGAGUUGGAGAUGGAGAGAGCAAUUUAGCCUUUAUAGCAAUAUGUGAAUUUAUUCAGAAUUUUUUCAUCUGUGAUGAAUGUCGCAAUCAUUUUCAUGAGAUAUCGUCAAGGUAUAAAAUAUGAUAUUUUUUUUAAUUCCAAGAAUUUUCAAUUUCUUAUCUAUGUGUAACUCACUUUUCAUUUGUGCUUGUAGUGUCUCAGUACCGUUUAACAAAACCCGUGACCUAGCAAUGUGGCUGUGGAGAACACAUAACAAGGUCAAUCAGAGAUUGAUGAAAGAAGAAAAAACUUUGGGUACUGGUGAUCCGAGAUUCCCGAAGAUCACUUGGCCUCCAAAGCAGCUCUGUCCAUCAUGCUAUAUUUCCUACAGCAGGGAAAGCAAUGGCACUGAGAACAUAGAAUGGGAUGAGGAUGAAGUGUUCCAGUUUUUGGUCAGAUAUUAUGGAAGAACGAUUGCUUCUUCCAAGGAAGCAACUCUCAGCAGCAGUGACGAUGCAGCUUCGACAUAUGACAUAGCUUCCUCAACCAAUGCAAUGACAGUUCCCGUCGGAGCUGCACUAGCCAUCGCGGUUGCUAGCUGUGCAUUCGGAGCACUAGCUUGCUUUUGGAGGACCCAACAGAAGAAUCGGAAGUACUUACACCAACUACACUCUCUAAAGAAAAUAUAAUUAGUAGGAGGGUAAUCGUUCACAUGUUUUUCUAUUAUUAGGCAAUACUAUGGUUUUGUUCAAGAAAGUGAUCUACUUUGUUACCCCUGCUAAUGUUUCAGGCACAGAAAAGGUUGGAACUGAAGGCAUCAAGAACAAGUCAACUAUCGCUUCUAUGAACUGAAGCAAAUAUGGAUUAUUGGCUUCAUGAAUGAUAUUCACCAGAAUUCGCCAUCAACUAAUUAUCUGAUUUUUGGUUGUCUGCCUGGAAAUGAGCUGUAUACUGUUUUACAAAUUCACACUACAAUUUUCAAAUAGUAUGUCAAACUUAUAUUUAUUAGCAUCAAAUGUCAGGUAGCUCUGCAUCUAGCAACAAUUAUUGAAAAGGUCAGCUGUGUGGAAAAAACUGGCAAGGGUUGGGGACCCUUAAUUUGUAAUUCAAAUCAAGUUUUCUUUGGGCAUUAGGGAUCAAGACAUUUGGUUAUCUUAUAAAGGGCAUAGUAGUAAAUGGCUUGGAGGUUGAUGCAGAGCUUUGAGAUGACACCAAUGAACAUUGAAGUUUGACUGAUGUCAUCCAUUGAAUUAGAGACUUCAAUUUUUCAAGUUUUAAUCUUCAGGUGAAUGGUGAAAGUUGAAACUAUGGGUGUAAAAUCUUAUACCAAUUCUUUGACUAUAUGACAUUCAUUCAGACUUCAAAAAAAAAAAAA